Molecule: transfer RNA, 73 nt
Filed under: Ruminococcus sp.
Lineage: Bacteria; Bacillati; Bacillota; Clostridia; Eubacteriales; Oscillospiraceae
Description: tRNA-Gln
Rfam family: tRNA
About the family: Transfer RNA (tRNA) molecules are approximately 80 nucleotides in length. Their secondary structure includes four short double-helical elements and three loops (D, anti-codon, and T loops).
Source: RNAcentral
UGGGGUGUCGCCAAGCGGUAAGGCAACGGACUCUGACUCCGUCACUUCAAAGGUUCGAAUCCUUUCACCCCAA